RNAcentral lists this ribosomal RNA (460 nucleotides) under uncultured bacterium. RNAcentral describes it as "partial 16S ribosomal RNA". It matches the Rfam family "Bacterial small subunit ribosomal RNA", at positions 338 to 795 of the family's 1533-position model. The record is from RNAcentral.
CCUACGGGGGGCUGCAGUGAGGAAUAUUGGUCAAUGGACGAGAGUCUGAACCAGCCAAGUAGCGUGAAGGAUGACUGCCCUAUGGGUUGUAAACUUCUUUUAUAUGGGAAUAAAAUGUUCCACGUGUGGGAUUUUGUAUGUACCAUAUGAAUAAGGAUCGGCUAACUCCGUGCCAGCAGCCGCGGUAAUACGGAGGAUCCGAGCGUUCUCCGGAUUUAUUGGGUUUAAAGGGAGCGUAGGUGGAUUGUUAAGUCAGUUGUGAAAGUUUGCGGCUAAACCGUAAAAUUGCAGUUGAAACUGGCAGUCUUGAGUACAGUAGAGGUGGGCGGAAUUCGUGGUGUAGCGGUGAAAUGCUUAGAUAUCACGAAGAACUCCGAUUGCGAAGGCAGUUCACUGGACUGCAACUGACACUGAGGCUCGAAAGUGUGGGUAUCAAACAGGAUUAGAUACCCUUGUAGUC